RNAcentral lists this ribosomal RNA (628 nucleotides) under uncultured Alphaproteobacteria bacterium. Its description in RNAcentral is "bacterial SSU rRNA". It matches the Rfam family "Bacterial small subunit ribosomal RNA", at positions 67 to 738 of the family's 1533-position model. The record is from RNAcentral. Lineage: Bacteria; Pseudomonadati; Pseudomonadota; Alphaproteobacteria.
CGAAGGCUUCGGCCUUAGUGGCGCACGGGUGCGUAACGCGUGGGAAUCUGCCCUUAGGUACGGGAUAACCAUUCGAAAGGAUGGCUAAUACCGUAUGAUGUUUAGCGACCAAAGAUUUAUCGCGCAGAGGAUGAGCCCUGCGUAGGAUUAGCGUAGUUGGUGGGGUAAAGGCCUACCAAGGCGACGAUCCUUACCUGGUCUGAGAGGAUGAUCAGCCACACUGGGACUGAGACACGGCCCAGACUCCUACGGGAGGCAGCAGUGGGGAAUAUUGGACAAUGGGCGAAAGCCUGAUCCAGCAAUGCCGCGUGAGUGAUGAAGGCCUUAGGGUUGUAAAGCUCUUUUACCCGGGAAGAUAAUGACUGUACCGGGAGAAUAAGCCCCGGCUAACUCCGUGCCAGCAGCCGCGGUAAUACGGAGGGGACUAGCGUUGUUCGGAAUUACUGGGCGUAAAGCGCACGUAGGCGGCUUUGUAAGUUAGAGGUGAAAGCCUGGGGCUCAACUCCAGAAUUGCCUUUAAGACUGCAUCGCUUGAACGUCGGAGAGGUGAGUGGAAUUCCGAGUGUAGAGGUGAAAUUCGUAGAUAUUCGGAAGAACACCAGUGGCGAAGGCGGCUCACUGGACGACU